UACGUAAAAGACUAGUGUUAUUCAUCUUUAGUAGGUUUAAAGGGUACCUAGACGGUAUAAUUAGUCUUAAACAAGAAACGGUUAUGCUAGAGUUACUAUAUGAGAAGGGGAGUAUUUAUGGAGUAGAGUUGAAAUUCUUUGAUCCCAUAACGACUGGUAGCGGCGAAAGCAACCUUUUAUCUAAUAACUGACGUUGAGGGACGAAGGCCCGGGUCACGAACAGG
RNAcentral lists this ribosomal RNA (224 nucleotides) under uncultured bacterium. Its description in RNAcentral is "partial 16S ribosomal RNA". It matches the Rfam family "Bacterial small subunit ribosomal RNA", at positions 524 to 776 of the family's 1533-position model. The record is from RNAcentral.